CCUACGGGUGGCUGCAGUGAGGAAUAUUGGUCAAUGGGCGCGAGCCUGAACCAGCCAAGUCGCGUGAGGGAAGACGGCCCUACGGGUUGUAAACCUCUUUUGCCGGGGAGCAACGGGCGCCACGUGUGGCGCCACUGAGAGUACCCGGAGAAAAAGCAUCGGCUAACUCCGUGCCAGCAGCCGCGGUAAUACGGAGGAUGCGAGCGUUAUCCGGAUUUAUUGGGUGUAAAGGGGGCGGAGACGGCGAUGCAAGCCAGGAGUGAAAGUCCGGGGCCCAACCCCGGGACUGCUCUUGAAACUGGGUGGCUGGAGUGCAAGAGAGGCAGGCGGAAUGCCUGGUGUAGCGGUGAAAUGCGUAGAUAUCAGGAGGAACACCGGUGGCGAAGGCGGCCUGCUGGACUGCAACUGACGUUGAGGCCCGAAAGCGUGGGGAGCGAACAGGAUUAGAUACCCUUGUAGUC
Molecule: ribosomal RNA, 461 nt
Filed under: uncultured bacterium
Lineage: Bacteria
Description: partial 16S ribosomal RNA
Rfam family: Bacterial small subunit ribosomal RNA
Source: RNAcentral